CGGGGAGUGGCGCAGCCCGGUAGCGCAUCUGGUUUGGGACCAGAGGGUCGGAGGUUCAAAUCCUCUCUCCCCGACCA
RNAcentral lists this transfer RNA (77 nucleotides) under Rickettsiales bacterium. RNAcentral describes it as "tRNA-Pro". It matches the Rfam family "tRNA". Rfam says of the family: Transfer RNA (tRNA) molecules are approximately 80 nucleotides in length. Their secondary structure includes four short double-helical elements and three loops (D, anti-codon, and T loops). The record is from RNAcentral. Lineage: Bacteria; Pseudomonadati; Pseudomonadota; Alphaproteobacteria; Rickettsiales.